Molecule: ribosomal RNA, 262 nt
Filed under: uncultured bacterium
Lineage: Bacteria
Description: partial 16S ribosomal RNA
Rfam family: Bacterial small subunit ribosomal RNA
Source: RNAcentral
GCAGCCGCGGUAAUACAGAGGGUGCGAGCGUUGUUCGGAAUUACUGGGCGUAAAGCGCGCGCAGGCGGUGAUGUAAGACAGGUGUGAAAUCCCCGGGCUUAACCUGGGAACUGCAUUAGUGACUGCAUAGCUAGAGUGCGGCAGAGGGGGAUGGAAUUCCGCGUGUAGCAGUGAAAUGCGUAGAUAUGCGGAGGAACACCGAUGGCGAAGGCAAUCCCCUGGGCCUGCACUGACGCUCAUGCACGAAAGCGUGGGGAGCAAA